GCUCGCGUGGCGGAAUUGGCAGACGCGUACGGCUCAGGACCGUAUGGGGCAACCCGUGGAGGUUCGAGUCCUCUCGCGAGCACCA
This 85-nucleotide transfer RNA is filed under the name Verrucomicrobiota bacterium. Its description in RNAcentral is "tRNA-Leu". It matches the Rfam family "tRNA". Rfam says of the family: Transfer RNA (tRNA) molecules are approximately 80 nucleotides in length. Their secondary structure includes four short double-helical elements and three loops (D, anti-codon, and T loops). Lineage: Bacteria; Pseudomonadati; Verrucomicrobiota. The record is from RNAcentral.